Molecule: unclassified non-coding RNA, 222 nt
Filed under: rhizosphere metagenome
Description: partial ribosomal RNA internal transcribed spacer region
Source: RNAcentral
GUUGGUGAACCAGCGGAGGGAUCAUUACCGAGUUUACAACUCCCAAACCCAAUGUGAACGUUACCAAACUGUUGCCUCGGCGGGAUCUCUGCCCCGGGUGCGUCGCAGCCCCGGCCCUACUCGGGCGCCCGCCGGAGGUAUCUAACUCUUGAACUUUUAUGGCCUCUCUGAGUCUUUGUACUUAAUAAGUCAAAACUUUCAACAACGGAUCUCUUGGUUCUG